AAUCCAACGGCGCAGCGAUCCCCACCCAGCUCCCCGGCUCAUCCCUCACGCAUCGGGGGAUCGCGCCCGCAUCCAUCGCAUCCGCCGCCGUCGCCUUCGAUCCUCCCCGCCAUCGCCGUCCUCCCCACCUCGUCGCCGACCCAGCGCCGCCAUCGCCUUCCUCCCCCACCGCGUCAAUCAUCGCCGUCCUCCCCCACCGCGUCGCCGACCCAGCGCCGCCAUCGCCGUCCUCCUCCACAGCGUCGCCGACCUAGCUCCUCGCCUCAUCCCUCCCACACCAGCUCCCUCCCCCACUGCUGUCCUCGCCACCGCCAUCGCCGUCCUCCCCCAGCACGUCGCCGACCCAGCGCUCCUCUCCGUCGAUCUCCACCACGGUCCCUUUCGCGCCACACCGGAAGCUGCCCGCCAGUCCUCCGGUCGUCGCUGGUUGCUGUCGGCAGGUGGAUGCAGUACUCUGGUCGCCCGUCUCCCCUCCAUCACCGAGUGACAUUCCCAUCUACAAAAGAAGUUUCUGCAGGUACACUUGGCGGCAUCACUAAUUUAACUCUGAUUUAACUUACGCGGAAGCGUGCUAGGGAGCGAUAUGCUGCUCUUAGUGCUGACGACAAGAAAUUAAUCUUAGUGCUGACGACAAGGAAGCUAGGCUUCAAAAGAUGCGAGAGUAUCGAUCCUGUACCUACCCAUGGUAUUUAAAUUAUUAUCUCACAAACGGCAUAGAUCUGAAGUGAAAUCUUGCCACUGGACACAAGCUCACUCUUCUUCAGGACGUCAGGUUCCUUCAUCACCCGGGUACUCUUCCCUACUGUGAAAGAGGAUGAUAUGCUUCCUACUCAAAUCGCUAUUCAGUUGACUAAUGAGUAUGAAUUUUUUCCGCUUCUCAUUUAAAUAGACAGUCUUCUUGAUUUGAUAACCAUAUUUUACACUUUCUCCUUUCAAUAGCUGGAAUAUUAUAGCGGCACCAUUCAUAAAUGACAUUAUCCUAUUCGGGACAUUUCUGUCUAUAAGUGCUAAGUUGACAGGUGAAUGCAAAGUUCAAUUCAGUGCAGUGAAGAACCUGCCAACAGAUCAAGGGCGAGGGCAGGGGAAGGGUGCUGCAGCGCUUCAACACAUUAGCGCUUCCAGGCUCUAGAUCACUCUAGCGUGUGGCCUUGGUGUACUAGCCACUUGCCAGGAAAAUGAGUGUGGGAGUGGGAGCUUAUGGCACGAGCUGGAGACAUGGAGAGAGAUUAGCAGGUUCAUUAGAAGUGAAAUUGUAGCAGAGAUUUGUAUAUAUGUAUAUGUAUAUAUAUAUAUAUGUAUAUGUAUACAUGUACAUGUACAUGUAUAUAUAUGUAUACAUGUAUAUGUACAU
Non-coding RNA from Oryza sativa Japonica Group (Japanese rice), 1351 nucleotides. Lineage: Eukaryota; Viridiplantae; Streptophyta; Magnoliopsida; Poales; Poaceae. The record is from RefSeq and is a predicted model, not a curated record.